AGCCGGGGUGUUAGCGGUACCUUGUACCUGCAAUCCGCUAUAGCAGGGGUGAAGCUGUGCAGAGGGCAAAAGCUGGUGAGGCUGCCCUUAGUAAGCGGCGUUGAUGUCUGGGUCUCACGCGACGGGAAUCUAUGAACCGUGUCAGGUCGGGAACGGAGCAGCACUAAGUAGAACCUUCCGGGUGCCGUGAGGGUGCCUGGGCUGAGUUAGCUGCUAAGGUAACGCUUGUUGGCCAAGUUCG
This 241-nucleotide signal recognition particle RNA is filed under the name uncultured Lachnoclostridium sp. Its description in RNAcentral is "Bacterial large signal recognition particle RNA". It matches the Rfam family "Bacterial large signal recognition particle RNA". Rfam says of the family: The signal recognition particle (SRP) is a universally conserved ribonucleoprotein involved in the co-translational targeting of proteins to membranes. Archaeal SRP consists of a 7S RNA and homologues of the eukaryotic SRP19 and SRP54 proteins. In most bacteria, the SRP consists of a 4.5S RNA and the Ffh protein (a homologue of the eukaryotic SRP54 protein). The record is from RNAcentral. Lineage: Bacteria; Bacillati; Bacillota; Clostridia; Lachnospirales; Lachnospiraceae.